GAUGAACGCUAGCGGUAGGCUUAACACAUGCAAGUCGAGGGGUAACAGGGUAGCAAUACUGCUGACGACCGGCGCACGGGUGAGUAACGCGUAUGCAAUCUGCCUUUAACUGGAGCAUAGCUUCGAGAAAUCGGAAUUAAUACUCCAUAAUAUUAACGAAUCGCAUGGUUUGUUAAUUAAAGCUCUGGCGGUUAAAGAUGAGCAUGCGUGACAUUAGUUUGUUGGUGAGGUAACGGCUCACCAAGACUACGAUGUCUAGGGGGUCUGAGAGGAUGGUCCCCCACACUGGUACUGAGACACGGACCAGACUCCUACGGGAGGCAGCAGUGAGGAAUAUUGGUCAAUGGCGCAAGCUGAACCAGCCAUACCGCGUGAAGGAUGAAGGCUCUAGUAGUUGUAAA
RNAcentral lists this ribosomal RNA (401 nucleotides) under uncultured bacterium. Its description in RNAcentral is "bacterial SSU rRNA". It matches the Rfam family "Bacterial small subunit ribosomal RNA", at positions 28 to 429 of the family's 1533-position model. The record is from RNAcentral.